RNAcentral lists this ribosomal RNA (253 nucleotides) under uncultured bacterium. Its description in RNAcentral is "partial 16S ribosomal RNA". It matches the Rfam family "Bacterial small subunit ribosomal RNA", at positions 524 to 776 of the family's 1533-position model. The record is from RNAcentral.
UACGUAGGGGGCUAGCGUUGUCCGGAAUCAUUGGGCGUAAAGCGCGUGUAGGCGGUCCGGUAAGUCCGCUGUGAAAGUCGGGGGCUCAACCCUCGGAUGCCGGUGGAUACUGUCGGGCUUGAGUACGGAAGAGGCGAGUGGAAUUCCUGGUGUAGCGGUGAAAUGCGCAGAUAUCAGGAGGAACACCGAUGGCGAAGGCAGCUCGCUGGGACGGUACUGACGCUGAGGCGCGAAAGCGUGGGGAGCAAACAGG